This 492-nucleotide ribosomal RNA is filed under the name uncultured bacterium. Its description in RNAcentral is "partial 16S ribosomal RNA". It matches the Rfam family "Bacterial small subunit ribosomal RNA", at positions 29 to 507 of the family's 1533-position model. The record is from RNAcentral.
AGUGAACGCUGGCGGUAGGCCUAACACAUGCAAGUCGAACGGCAGCACAGUAAGAGCUUGCUCUUACGGGUGGCGAGUGGCGGACGGGUGAGGAAUACAUCGGAAUCUACUUUUUCGUGGGGGAUAACGUAGGGAAACUUACGCUAAUACCGCAUACGACAUACGGGUGAAAGCAGGGGAUCUUCGGACCUUGCGCGAUUGAUUGAGCCGAUGUCGGAUUAGCUAGUUGGCGGGGUAAAGGCCCACCAAGGCGACGAUCCGUAGCUGGUCUGAGAGGAUGAUCAGCCACACUGGAACUGAGACACGGUCCAGACUCCUACGGGAGGCAGCAGUGGGGAAUAUUGGACAAGGGGCGCAAGCCUGAUCCAGCCAUACCGCGUGGGUGAAGAAGGCCUUCGGGUUGUAAAGCCCUUUUGUUGGGAAAGAAAAGCAGCAGGUUAAUACCCCGCUGUUCUGACGGUACCCAAAGAAUAAGCACCGGCUAACUUCGUG